Sus scrofa (pig) is the source of this 462-nucleotide non-coding RNA. Lineage: Eukaryota; Metazoa; Chordata; Mammalia; Artiodactyla; Suidae. The record is from RefSeq and is a predicted model, not a curated record.
AUUAAGAAUAACUGGUUUAGAAUGUGGAGAAAGUUCAUGAACAAGACUGGAAACCAGAACCCCAGUUGCAGAAAGAACCCUCCCACAGCCUGACAGGUUCAUUAUUUAUUACAGUGUCCCAGCUGAGACAAAAUUGGAAUGCAAGCCACAGUCCUUUGACCAGCAGCAACAGUGUCAUCAGGGAUCUGAACCUGCUGCAUCUGAAUCUGCAUUUUAACAUAAUGUUCUCAGGUAAUACAAGGGACUUCCAGGAAAUAAAGGACACCUUCCAGAUGUAAUCGGCAAAACCCAGAAGAUACACUCAGAAGAGCUUCUGGAUGAAAGAAUGUGAUUGGAGAGGAGGGGAACGUGGGUGAGCAGUAUAAAUGAAACAAGGUUGGUCAUGAGCUAAUAAUUAGCGGAGGUAUUGCAUUAUACCAGCGAUUCUCAAAGUGUGGUCCCUGGACCAGCAGCAUCAGCAUC